This 248-nucleotide ribosomal RNA is filed under the name uncultured Staphylococcus sp. RNAcentral's name for it is "partial 16S ribosomal RNA". It matches the Rfam family "Bacterial small subunit ribosomal RNA", at positions 92 to 334 of the family's 1533-position model. Lineage: Bacteria; Bacillati; Bacillota; Bacilli; Caryophanales; Staphylococcaceae. The record is from RNAcentral.
UUAGCGGCGGACGGGUGAGUAACACGUGGAUAACCUACCUAUAAGACUGGGAUAACUUCGGGAAACCGGAGCUAAUACCGGAUAAUAUUUUGAACCGCAUGGUUCAAAAGUGAAAGACGGUCUUGCUGUCACUUAUAGAUGGAUCCGCGCUGCAUUAGCUAGUUGGUAAGGUAACGGCUUACCAAGGCAACGAUGCAUAGCCGACCUGAGAGGGUGAUCGGCCACACUGGAACUGAGACACGGUCCAA